UUUAAGGGAGCUCAAGGUCACAAGUAA
Molecule: non-coding RNA, 27 nt
Filed under: Cricetulus griseus (Chinese hamster)
Lineage: Eukaryota; Metazoa; Chordata; Mammalia; Rodentia; Cricetidae
Source: RNAcentral